RNAcentral lists this ribosomal RNA (265 nucleotides) under uncultured bacterium. RNAcentral's name for it is "partial 16S ribosomal RNA". It matches the Rfam family "Bacterial small subunit ribosomal RNA", at positions 29 to 279 of the family's 1533-position model. The record is from RNAcentral.
AACGAACGCUGGCGGCGUGCUUAACACAUGCAAGUCGGACGCGAAAGGGGGCAACCCCCGGUAGCGUGGCAGACGGGUGAGUAACACGUGGGCAACCUGCCCGGAGGUGGGGGAUAACUCUUCGAAAGGAGAGCUAAUACCGCAUAACACCCCGAGGUUCUCGGACUUUGGGUUCAAAGCUAGCCUCUGCUUGCAAGCUAGCGCCACCGGAGGGGCCCGCGCCCCAUUAGCUAGUUGGUGAGGUAACGGCUCACCAAGGCAACGA